This 405-nucleotide ribosomal RNA is filed under the name uncultured rumen bacterium. RNAcentral's name for it is "bacterial SSU rRNA". It matches the Rfam family "Bacterial small subunit ribosomal RNA", at positions 354 to 776 of the family's 1533-position model. The record is from RNAcentral.
GUGGGGGAUAUUGCACAAUGGGCGAAAGCCUGAUGCAGCGACGCCGCGUGAGUGAAGAAGUAUUUCGGUAUGUAAAGCUCUAUCAGCAGGGAAGAAAAUGACGGUACCUGACUAAGAAGCCCCGGCUAACUACGUGCCAGCAGCCGCGGUAAUACGUAGGGGGCAAGCGUUAUCCGGAUUUACUGGGUGUAAAGGGAGCGUAGACGGCAAGGCAAGUCUGAUGUGAAAGGUGUGGGCUCAACUCACAAACUGCAUUGGAAACUGUUCUGCUAGAGUGCAGGAGAGGUAAGCGGAAUUCCUAGUGUAGCGGUGAAAUGCAUAGAUAUUAGGAGGAACACCGGCGGCGAAGGCGGCUUACUGGACUGUAACUGACGUUGAGGCUCGAAAGCGUGGGUAGCAAACAGG